Molecule: ribosomal RNA, 300 nt
Filed under: uncultured Octadecabacter sp.
Lineage: Bacteria; Pseudomonadati; Pseudomonadota; Alphaproteobacteria; Rhodobacterales; Roseobacteraceae
Description: bacterial SSU rRNA
Rfam family: Bacterial small subunit ribosomal RNA
Source: RNAcentral
GCGUGGGAAUGUACCCUUCUCUAUGGAAUAGCCAUUGGAAACGAUGAGUAAUACCAUAUACGCCCUUCGGGGAAGGAUUUAUCGGAGAAGGAUCAGCCCGCGUUAGAUUAGAUAGUUGGUGGGGUAAGUGGCCUACCAAGUCUACGAUCUAUAGCUGGUUUUAGAGGACGAUCAGCAACACUGGGACUGAGACAUGGCCCAGACUCCUACGGGAGGCAGCAGUGGGGAAUCUUAGACAAUGGGCGCAAGCCUGAUCUAGCCAUGCCGCGUGAGUGAUGAAGGCCUUAGGGUCGUAAAGCU